UGCGUCGCGGGCUUCAUUGAAGGU
This 24-nucleotide microRNA is filed under the name Capitella teleta. RNAcentral's name for it is "cte-miR-2713". Lineage: Eukaryota; Metazoa; Annelida; Polychaeta; Capitellidae. The record is from miRBase by way of RNAcentral.